This 293-nucleotide ribosomal RNA is filed under the name uncultured Acidobacteriota bacterium. Its description in RNAcentral is "uncultured Acidobacteria bacterium partial 16S ribosomal RNA". Lineage: Bacteria; Pseudomonadati; Acidobacteriota. The record is from RNAcentral.
GGACUACCCGGGUAUCUAAUCCCGUUCGCUCCCCUGGCUUUCGCGCAUCAGCGUCAGUGUCAGCCCAGCAACCCGCCUUCGCCGCAGGUGUUCCUCUCGAUAUCUACGCAUUUCACCGCUACACCGAGAAUUCCAGUUGCCCCUUCUGCACUCUAGUCGCACAGUAUCAGUUGACCUUUCCGAGUUAAGCCCGGAGAUUUCACAACUGACUUGUGCUGACCGCCUACGCGCCCUUUACGCCCAGUAAAUCCGAACAACGCUUGCUCCCCCCGUAUUACCGCGGCGGCUGGCAC